This 84-nucleotide transfer RNA is filed under the name Hazenia capsulata. RNAcentral's name for it is "tRNA-Leu". It matches the Rfam family "tRNA". Rfam says of the family: Transfer RNA (tRNA) molecules are approximately 80 nucleotides in length. Their secondary structure includes four short double-helical elements and three loops (D, anti-codon, and T loops). Further hydrogen bonds mediate the characteristic L-shaped molecular structure. tRNAs have two regions of fundamental functional importance: the anti-codon, which is responsible for specific mRNA codon recognition, and the 3' end, to which the tRNAs corresponding amino acid is attached (by aminoacyl-tRNA synthetases). tRNAs cope with the degeneracy of the genetic code in two manners: having more than one tRNA (with a specific anti-codon) for a particular amino acid; and 'wobble' base-pairing, i.e. permitting non-standard base-pairing at the 3rd anti-codon position. Lineage: Eukaryota; Viridiplantae; Chlorophyta; Ulvophyceae; Ulotrichales; Hazeniaceae. The record is from RNAcentral.
GCUCCUCUGAUGAAAUUGGUAGACAUACCGGUUUUAGGAACCGGCGCUGUAAAAGGCUUGGGAGUUCAAAUCUCCCGAGGAGCA